GAGAGAGAGAAAAGUACAAAAACAAAGCAAUUCCUAUGUCUUGAACUACAUUCGACCUGAUUCCUUUUAAGGAUACGUAGGCAGCCUCAUGGUUUGGUCCCAUCAAAAUAAAAAUUCAAAAGUCCCCCAAGCAAAGAAACUAGGGCAGAAGUUGUGGUUGUUGUAAGAGAUCUGAUUCCAAAAGUUGUAAUUUUGACCCUUUUUAAGCUGUUUUUGAACCUUUAUGAUACGCUUUCUUUCUAAUCCUAUCCAAAAACCUAAAGUACGGUCCAAAGAAAGACCUCCCGAUCAAUCUUUGAGUAGUGCCAAGGCAAGCGAGUUAUAGGUAUGAUUCACAUCAGGGGAAACACUCCGUUCUACACAAGGAAAAGAAAAUGAGGGAGUCUUAUCGGGAAAACCUUCACAGGCACCAUAAGGUGAUAGUCAGUUGAGAGAAAGAACAAAAUGAGAAAGGCUUGAUGGUGAAAUCCCUUCGGACACUACAAGUCAAAUAAGGAUCGUAAAUCGGAUUGGAAAAUUGGAGCAUUGAAGCCCAGUUUCACGGUUUAGGGGUACAAUAAAAGUUGAACAUCAGACUUGCUUGACAGAUUAGGCCACUUAAUCCAAAUGUGCAUGUCAUGGUCAUUAGAGUUGGUAUCCACAUCUGAUAAGUUUCUACUUUAUACUUUUCUUGUUAGGAAUCAUCUCUUUUCAUUGUCACUUACUNNNNNNNNNNNNNNNNNNNNAUUUAUUACCACCAUUCUAAUUGCACAAAUGGAGUCUAGCUAGCACAUCAAAGCGACAUAAGUCAGGAAAGAGUAGUAGGCGCACUGAGUUGGCAACAAUCAACGUGUUUUGCGAUUCAUGAGCAAAAUGCAAUAGAUAGAAGGUAUUGAGUUUGAAUGAAUUAGAGGUAUUGGCUGUGAUAAGGGUGACAUAGAAAGUGGUUUGUCAAUAAACAAGCAAUGUCUUUCAAGUUGAAAUCAAAGUUAUCAUGGCAAGUGAAAGAGCAAUCACCCUCAAAGUCAAGGCCACAAACCAACCACCAUAUUUAAAUUCACAAGUUUUCUUUGUUUGAAACAUGGAUGAAAGCUAUAUUCAUAUCAAAGCUUGGAAGCUUGAAUUUUUCAGGUGUAAUGGCCCAGUUCUGCUUACGCAAAGGCUAUUGAGAAGAUCACACAUCACCCCUAGGAGACGCACUUCCUAGCCUAGGUCUUUCAAGUUAUGUUUUGUUUUAGGAGACACACUUCCUACAUUGAGUUUUUCCCCUAGGAGACGCACUUCCUGGUUUGAAUCAUUUAAGUUUCACCCAUUAGGAGACGCAGUUUCUAGUCAGGGUCUUUCAAGUUAUAUUUUUGUUUUAGGAGACACACUUCCUAAAUUGAGAUUUUACCACUAGGAGACACACUUCCUAUUUGGUUCAUUUGAAGUUUCACCCCUAGGAGACACACUUCCUAGUCUGGGUCNNNNNNNNNNNNNNNNNNNNUGGAUCUUUCAGGAUACACUUUCAGGAGACGCACUUCCUAUAUUGAGAUUUCACCCCUAGGAGACGCACUUCCUAGUCUAGGUUUUUCUGGAUAUACUUUUGGGAGACGCAUUUCCUAAAUUGAGAUUUUACCCCUAGGAGAUGCACUUGCUAGUGUGAGUCAUGCAAGUUUUACCCCUAGGAGAUGCACUUCCUAGUGUGAGUCAUGCAAGUUUUACCCCUAGGAGAUGCAUUUCCUAGUGUGAGUCAUGCAAGUUUUACCUCUAGGAGACGCACUUUCUAGUUUGGUUCAUUCAAGUUUCAGCCUUAGGAGACGCACUUCCUAGUUUGGUUCAUUCAAGUUUCACUCGUAGGAGACGCACUUCCUGAUCUAGGUCUUUCAGGUUUUAUUUUUAGCGGACUCAUUUGUUGGUCAAAGUUUCUUGGUCUUACUCACAGGAGAUACGCAUCCUAGUCGAGUCUCUAGUUUACUUUCAUCAUUGCAUCAAUAGCAUAAGUGGUUUAUAGUUUUGCUAAUAACUCACAAAUCUUCCAAGUGCAAACUGGGGCAGAAAAUUUUGUUUGUUUUGUUGUUUGAUUGCAGGCACCCACCUGGAAAACAAAGGAGUUUGUUUUAGAAUUAUCUCAAGUUUCAACGGAAAGCAGUUACGAAGGAAGACGAGUCAAGUUCAGCAAUCAGACACCCACCUGGAGAAUAAGGGAAGAUAAUUCAAGUUUCAAGGGAAAGCAGUUCAAGUUUCGAAAAAAGACGGUCAAGUUCAGCAAUCAGGGGCCCACCUGGAAAACAAGGGAAGACGGCUCAAGUUUCAAGGGAAAGCAAUUUAGAAGGAAGACAGUUCAAGUUUCAAGGGAAAACAGUUCGAGUUUCAAGGGAAAGAAGUUCAAGUUUCAAAGGAAGACAGUUCAAGUUUUGGCAAUCAGGCACCCACCUGGAAAACAAGGGAAUUCACUUCAGAAUGCAAUUCAAGUCAGCAACAAAAGAAGCUCGCGGCAAGAAUACAAGUCAACGGUCCGAGAUGAUCAACAAAAGUUAGUCACAAUCCAGAAUUAAAAAAAAAAGGCAAGAAGUGAAUCCAAAUGCAGAAGUUGAUGAAAGAUGGGAGCUACUCAAGACAUGACUGAAGUCACAAGCAUGGUGUGUCCGGUUUUGAUCCGAAAAGCUGAAGAAGAAUGAACUAGCACCUACAACUAACAAGCACCAAGGUUCAAAUCUAAAGUCUGCAUGAAGAACCAUUCAAGACUCAAGAUCAAGUUUCAGAAGACUUAUAGAUAGGAAUUUUGUAACUCAUAGUUGACAGGCGUAGUUAGUCUUUUUCAUUUUUUGAUUUUGAUGUAAUAAUAGGAUCGCGGACCGGAACCUCGACAGAACGGCACCUCGAUCCUCUCCACCUCAGUAUACUCCAUCAGCUUAUUCACUUUUGAACUACACGUGGCCUGAUUUCUUUAUAGCGAAGGAUAUGUAGGCAGCUCAGAUACUAGGGCUCGACCACAUUCUCUUUUUUUUAGUUUUUGGUCUCUCUAAAUAAGGGUCGGGUUAAAAAACCUAUCUCGUCGUUCUUUGUCUGAAAAUACUUCGUGUUUCCAAUCAAAGAGGGGCAGCUGUAGACAUGUAAUUUUUGAUCCUCCCCGAGAUUUUUACACCUUUUAGUACUUAAAUAUUUUUUUUAGCUCUAAUAUUGUUAUUUUGCCUAUUUUUGACCUUUUUGCUUUAUUUUCUCUUAAAAUGAAAACUACAAAAAAUAUUUUUUUUUACUUUAGCUAUUUAGUAUUUCUCUAGCAAUUUUUAGUGUAUCUUACUUUGGGUAAAAUUAAAAAAUUGACAAAAAAUAGUCACAUGAUUUUAGAGUAUUAAGUUUUCAUUUUAUUAGUCAUAACUUUGAUUUAGUGAUAUUUAAUACUUGUACUACACGUUGUUUUCCUCUCUUGUAGUUCCUACUUUAUUUUUUAUUUUUUUAAAUUAAAAGGAUUCUACACUUUUAGGAUUAUAUAUAUUAGUAUUUUUCAGCUUUUGUUUUAUCAAGAAAACAAAAAAUAACCAAAAAAAAGUAAAAAAAAUGAGAAGAAUGAAAUCAAAAGAACGGCAAAAGCAGAAUCGAAACAAGAAAUGAAAUAGUGGACGUAGUCUAUUAUCUUCUUCAUUUUCCUUUAAAUAUAUAUAUAUGGAANNNNNNNNNNNNNNNNNNNNNNNNNNNNNNNNNNNNNNNNNNNNNNNNNNNNNNNNNNNNNNNNNNNNNNNNNNNNNNNNNNNNNNNNNNNNNNNNNNNNNNNNNNNNNNNNNNNNNNNNNNNNNNNNNNNNNNNNNNNNNNNNNNNNNNNNNNNNNNNNNNNNNNNNNNNNNNNNNNNNNNNNNNNNNNNNNNNNNNNNNNNNNNNNNNNNNNNNNNNNNNNNNNNNNNNNNNNNNNNNNNNNNNNNNNNNNNNNNNNNNNNNNNNNNNNNNNNNNNNNNNNNNNNNNNNNNNNNNNNNNNNNNNNNNNNNNNNNNNNNNNNNNNNNNNNNNNNNNNNNNNNNNNNNNNNNNNNNNNNNNNNNNNNNNNNNNNNNNNNNNNNNNNNNNNNNNNNNNNNNNNNNNNNNNNNNNNNNNNNNNNNNNNNNNNNNNNNNNNNNNNNNNNNNNNNNNNNNNNNNNNNNNNNNNNNNNNNNNNNNNNNNNNNNNNNNNNNNNNNNNNNNNNNNNNNNNNNNNNNNNNNNNNNNNNNNNNNNNNNNNNNNNNNNNNNNNNNNNNNNNNNNNNNNNNNNNNNNNNNNNNNNNNNNNNNNNNNNNNNNNNNNNNNNNNNNNNNNNNNNNNNNNNNNNNNNNNNNNNNNNNNNNNNNNNNNNNNNNNNNNNNNNNNNNNNNNNNNNNNNNNNNNNNNNNNNNNNNNNNNNNNNNNNNNNNNNNNNNNNNNNNNNNNNNNNNNNNNNNNNNNNNNNNNNNNNNNNNNNNNNNNNNNNNNNNNNNNNNNNNNNNNNNNNNNNNNNNNNNNNNNNNNNNNNNNNNNNNNNNNNNNNNNNNNNNNNNNNNNNNNNNNNNNNNNNNNNNNNNNNNNNNNNNNNUAUAUAUANNUUCCAAUCACCUUUUCACACCUCACCCUUAUACAUAAUUCCUCCAACAAACUUAUCACAUGCACACUACAAUUUCAUACAUACAUGAAUACAGUGAUUUUAGUAGGGGAGGACCACAAAAUAUUCUUUGGGGACCACUCAUAUUCUUUUUUUCUCCCCAAGCACUCACCUAGGCUCACAAUUAAUAUAAAGGGGAUGAGAAGACAGUGAUAAAAAAGAACAGAGAGAGACAGAUAGGAGGAGAUAGAGCAAAAUUGGGGAAAACACAGAUCUGAAGAAAAAAAGCCACACCUCCGUUUUUCUAUUUCAUCUUUUUCCUAAAAUCCUUCAUUAAACCACCCUCAAACACCCCAAAGAGCCCAUUUUUUUGCCAUGAAAGUGCAACCAUGAAACCUUCAUUAAGCCACUCUUAAACUCCAUCAAACAACUCCAAAAUCACUCCAAAACACCAUUGUUUACAGCUGAAAAAUGCAACAAAAUGACCAUUGAAGGAAGCUCCAAAAGCUCACCAAAAGUCAGCAAUAAAGCCACCACAAACACCUCCCAAACCCAGCUCGAAAAUAGCCCCCAAAAGCCUCAAAUUUCAGCCAAAAACUGACCCCAAAAGCACAACAAAGGUAGUUUCAAUUUUCUCCAUUAAUCACGUUGAAGCUCUGUCACCCGAGGUCGCCGGCGAGUUUACCAUGCCUGGUUUGGUUUGUUCGAAUUCUCUCAUUGAGUUUACAUGUUUGUAUUCAAUAAAUCGUCAUGUAUAUAAAAGUUAUUAGGCGGCAAAAAAAAUCCAAAGUGGGAGAUAUAGUUGGGAGCAAAACGGAGUGGCUUCACUGUUCAAGGUAAUAUGAACACCUCACUGUUCUUUGGCUUUUCAGAUGUGCUGUAUACAUAGAUAUUUGUUCAAUAAGCAAUUUGUCCAUGGAUUUAAUGUUUUACUUUGUAUCUUUCUUUGUGUUUUCGUGGAUUGUUAAUUCUGGUAGGUGGGGUCUGCGUCCAUUGAUUUAAUGUUUUACUUUGUAUCUUUCUUUGUAGCUUGCUUUAGACGCGAUUAAUAAAUUAUCGUGGUCAUGGGUACGGUUCUCAUGGCAUGGUCACGAUCCAUAAAUCUAAAUUCAGGUAUGCAUUUCAUAUGAUCCGACCAUAACUUCGAAUAUUAAUAAUAAAAUAAAUAUGUUGUAAAUCGCGGGUGUAUUUCAUGUGACGCGGUUUGCAAUGUGUACGACAAUCAUGAUUUGUUCCAUAAACACUAAAAGCGAUUUGGAAGUUAAAAACGCACGUAGGUUUAAAAUGUGUAAUUAAUCAGAUAAUUAGGCCAAUUAUUAAUAGUUAAGCGACCGUACUAAAAUCACGAAAUUCGGGAAUGUCUAACACCUUCUUCCGGGUUAACAGAAUCCUUACCCGGAUCUCUGUGUUCGUAGACCAUAAAUAGAUUCAAUCUUCCUUGAUUGGGGAUUUUAAAUCGGUGACUUAGGACACCAUAAAUUAUCCCAAGUGACGACUCUGAAUUUUAAAUAAAAUAAUCUCGUUUCGAUUGUCACUUAAAUUGGACAAAACUCCCUUAUACCCCUCCGGGGAUAGUAAAAAAGAGGUAUGACAAAGUAUUUUUUUUAAAGUUAAGGUGUUUGGCCAAGCUCUUAUAAGGAAAAAAAGUGCUUUUGAGCAGAAGCAGUUUUUUAGAAGAGAAAAAAGUAGCCAAAAGUACUUUUGAGAAAAAUACACUUAAAAGCACUUUUUAAAAGCUUGGCCAAAAUAUAUUAUUGUUCAAAAGUGUUUUUCAAAUUAAUUAUCCAAACACAAACUGCUUCUCACCAAAAGUACUUUUUUUAAAACGCACUUUUCAAAAUAAGUUGAUUUUAGAAGCUUGGCCAAAUAGGCUAUAGGAGAUCCAUCUUAUAAUAACAGGGUUUAUGCAUUUGAUGCCAUUUUUUAACCAUGCAAUAAUCUUUUGUUAUUUUCUCUUAUUUGUUUCCAGGGACAGACCAACGUGGGGCCAAGUGGGUCAUCUGAACCUGUUGUUUACCCGUAAAACAGUAUGGCUAAAUUUUAUAAUAUGGUUUAUAGACAAGCGAAUCAAUUUAAUCCCAAAAUAAUAAAUAAAUUAAAUAAAAUGCAAGACUUAGCGUUGAAAUUGAGAUAAGACAACAAACAGCUUGGUUCCCGGAUCAAGGCUUCUGUAGACAACAAUAAGAAUAUUAAUAGACAGAAAAUAAAGUAUUAUUGAGCUUAGAAUAAUAUGUAGCAUAAGUUUGUCAGAAAUUUCGUGUCUUACAAUGGCUGUUGAACUCACUAUUUAUAGCUAUACCUAGGGAACAAGGUCCUAUGAUCAAGCCCCUCUUAAAUGACAAUUAUGGGGGCCAUUGAUGAAGGUGUAAUGGCAGGCUAUGAAUGACAAGAUUCUUUGUAACGGAUUGUGUAUUUAAUAUUGAGAAAUAUUCUUCACUGAAUGUCAUCGGGUGACAAAUAUUCAUUUGUCCUCAUUAGCAAUAUUCCUUUCGGAGUCUACCCAGUGUCAACCGAAGCUACUGUCCAUGGUCUUGGUUUCCACUUGCCUCGUUUUUUGUCUGUCUCUGGCUCCACGUGUCGCCCUAUUAUUCGAGUAUUUAAUAUGAACCAAUUUUACCCUAAACAGAUAGUCCCCCUACUUUCCGGUGGCACAUCUUUGUGUCAUUGGGAAGUUGGUGAAGAUACCUCUCUUGGCGGGAAAUUUUUUGAUCCCUUUUGAAAAGUUUCUGACACUCGAUUAGAUGCACGUCUCUCCGCAUUUGAUGCCCCGAACACUCGUCACUCCACGAUUUUGCAAUAUUUUAACUGGUCUCUAGUUAAUCAUGGUCACGAUUUUAGUCGCCUAUUUCUUUACUUAUACGCCUUAUUCUUCUUCUUUUACGCUUCACAGUUCUUCAAACUCUCUAAACUUCUUUGCAUUCACCUCUUUCUUUCUUUCACUCUUCUUCUUCAAAGAACUCUUAUUUCCUUCUACUAACCAUGACUUCCUUCUCCAAGAAUUCAGGUUCUCUUAAAAAUAAAGAAAACACCGAUGAUGUUGCCCCUCCUACGGUAAGUACCACAUUCCCAGAAGACUUAAAACAACCAAGGAUUUCGAAGAGAAGUUUUCUUCUACAAGCUCUCGUACAUGGGCUGUUGGUGGAUACCCUUCUUCCAUCCAUCCUUCUUGCAUUCCUGCCGUGGAGGAGGAUUAUGAUUGCCAUGAUCUGAACAUCAUCGCUCCCGAACUGGUGAAGCAAGUAACCUUUCCGAAGAAAGGUUUUAUGUACGUCUAUACGUACCCAUUUACUUUGGGUGCGUUUUCUUUGAGCGGGGGAAUUGACCCCAUGAUUUUGGAGCUAUGCCACAAAUACCAAAUUGUUUUGGUACAGGUGGGCCCUUCGGUCUCGCAAACGAUAACCUAUCUACGGCAGCUAUGCUAGGAGAUGAAUGAAGAGCUCACCUUGGCUCGCAUGAGGAACCUCUACUCCCCCAAGAUUUUCCGUGGGGGAGUAAUAAAUUUUAUCAAAUGUGACCACCAUGCUUUGCUCAGCAACAUGGAUGACGACAAAGACCAUGGAUUGAUGGAGCGGUUCAUUAUUGUUGCCACCAGGGAUAUCAUCCCAGCCAUAACUCCAUCUUUCCCUGAGUCUUGGACUCAUACACAUAAGUUCAAACUCUAUCUUUUCUUUGAAAAAAGGUUAUUUCGUGUUGUUACUUAUCCUUCUCUUUUUAUUAUUUCAACAACUCGGUGGACAUCACCAAGGGUUGAAGGCUUGGACCAGUGGGUUCAGAAUAUUCUAGAUAUUACCACGCCUGAGACCUACCGGUGGAAAGAACAGGCCCUAAAAUACGGGUGGAAGACCAAAAAUCACAAUAAGUUGACUCGUGAGAUUGAUUUUAUCCUCAUCUCAUUUUUUGUGUAAGAAAAUUGGUUAACUUCUUUUUUUCGUUGAAUUCAGGUCUUCCGCAGGGCUCUUUUACCAUCCCCGAUGAGGAUGUUCUGGCUGAUCCUGCAGAGGCUGCGAGGUUACUGAAGGAGGCCUUCACCCGAAUAGGCUCCAUCAGAUCCUCUUUUGAUGCAAGUGCUUCCUCUCGGAGUCCCUGGCCAGAGAACAAGCAACCAAAAAGGUGGCACUCUUCCUCGGCCGAGAGCAAAAAUAAAAAAGGUGAAGAGCGUUGCACCCGAGCCAGCCGCAGUCACUAAAGUGAUUAAUGAUGAUGGGGAAGCCAGUGAUGAAGGGGCUUCCUUAUAGAGGAGGCAACGACCUUCAUCAGCUCAAUAGAAUGCUCAAUCUUGAGAGCUUAUAACACCAACCGAGGACGACGCCCAAGCGCUCUAGGGAGAGUAUGACCUAGUGGAGAAUGUCAAUUCUCCCUUUCGAGCUCCAAUCGAUGUUCCUGGUACUAUGAGGCUGAGUAUCGGGCCUCUUCCGUCUUGGGUUGAUGAGAAACUGAUCGGAGCCAACCCUAUACUAUUAUAGAAUGGCAAGAACGGUCAAGAGUUGAAUCAACUCAUCAAGGAAACUCUUUCUAUAACAUUGGUCAUUGUGGAACCCAAACUCAUACUCCUAGAUUCUCCAUAUGCAAACCUCACUGUUAGAUUGUAGUACUCAGAACGAGGAUUGUGGAAAACAUACUCAUCUCUCUCAAAGGAAGGUCACAAGUCCGGCUCUAAGUACCAUAAACUUGCCCCUUAUGUGAGUCACCACUAAUGUAAGCUCACUCAACUCUAGAUCAUAUAGGGUUUUUGUGGGAAUGUAAUGAAGGCUUUUGUUUCAGGGUAGGAAAUAUUGGUCUAUGAAGGUUUCAUCUUUCCUUAAGCACUUCAUUUGCUUCAUUUUGGCUCACAUUUUCUUGACUCUUUGAGUCAUUUACUUCUUCUUUAGGGGAUAGAGAGAUACACUGUCACUCUUUCUUGUUCAUUUCAAUCCUCUUUCUCCUUUCUAAUCUUUCCAAGCCUUUCAUCUUUUGCUUUUAAUGAAUCCCUUCAUUUCUUCUACAUUGUUCACUUUCUUUUUGGCUUUUUGGCUUUUUCUUUCUUUUUCUUUUUGCCUUCCUUUUCUUCAUUUUGUACCUUUUAUCACUUUUGCAUUCCUCGUCUCUCCCCCCAAACUUAUGCUUUUGCCUUGUGCUAAGGAAAGAUCGAGUGGCAAUAGAGGAUCAUUUUAGAAUGGAUAAAAUCUUGUAUCAUGGUUAUUGAAAGAAUAAGGGCUAUGGCUCAACGGGGUUGACUAGGGAUGUCAUUCUUGGUGGGAUAUGGAUGUUUUCAAGCCUCAAUUUGGAUCAAGGAAAGCCUAUAAUCACUUCUCAAGUCGAGAUACACUUAGGAUUUUGCCUAGACAAAUAUUCAGGGCAAGUUCUAGACUUAUUGGUGUGGGAUUUGGACUCGCAAAUCAAUACCUCACCACACAAGCUAUAGGAUUGCUAAAGAGAUAGAGUCGGGGCCCACAAAAACCUUAGCUAAGAUUUGAUCAACACAAAUGGUUCCGAGAAACCACUCAAUGAUUGUUUAGUCAACACAAGAGUCUCAAGGUCACAACUAUCACCAUUCUAUACACACCAAUUCUUUUUUAACCAUAAGGUCAAAGGUUUGCCUGAGGCACUAUUUUUCACUAGCUACUAUUUACUCAAAAACGAAAAGAAAACAGAUUCAAACCCUUAAGAAGGUUGUCAUGCCAUCCAUCAUCGGGAAGAGCCACCCGGUUCACACAAACUACACCUUUGGAAGAACCAUGGCAUUAAGAAAACCAAAGGCUUAUUGAUCACAAAAACUUGUAAAAUAAGAAGCUACAAACCGAAAAAGAAGCUACUAAAUGAAACAAAAAGCUAUGCUAUUAAGGAAACUUGCAAAAGAAGUUAUGAAGUAAAAUAUGGAAAGUAAACUAAAUAUAUACAAUAGGGGAUUGAGACGAAUAUACAUAAGAGGGAAUGAAUAUAUACAUGGAAAAGUAACUUUAUAUACAUUCAAAAAUUGAAAAAUAACGAAAAGUAAGAAAAUAAAUGGUAAAGUUAUAUAUAUACCAAAAGUGAAAAAUAAGCAUAAAGAAAAGUAUUAUCAUCAUUACAAACCAACUAUCAAAUCAUCAAAGUAGGACCACCCCCUCAAAUAAAAACUAGCAUUGUCCUUAGUGCUAAAUAACCAAAAAUUGGAUCCUGAGGGAGGUGCCUUAGGCCAGCCAGGUGAUCCAGGGACCUAGCCAUAGGACCCCAUGCAGACAGAGGACCCAUAGGGAGUUUUCUUUACUCUCUACUCUUCUUUUUGAUCUUCUCCAACUCAAUCUCUACAUCAUCAACCCGAGGCAUCACUCUCUUCCUCUUGGGCUCUCUCUCAGUCUCCUGCUCCUGAACCUGCUCUGUCUGAGCUGCUGGAAGCUGGUUCUGUAAUAGUAGCUCCAAUGGUAAGUGGUCAGCUGACUUCAUCUUCUCCACCUCUCCCCUUAAUUGUUUCACCGACUCCUUCGAGGCCCAAGUCUUUUUCAGCUUCUUUGUCUGCUUGCUCAGCUCCUUAAGUGUUUUUCCUUGAACUGCAAAAGCAUCCAUGAUAAGCUUUUGGUUCUCCAGGAGCUUCUUCUGGUUGUCCAGAAGCUCCUUGAGAGACUCCUCCACUGAAGCUGGUACCUGGGGCUGUGUGGGAACUGACUGGGUUGUCACUGAACUAGAUAGCACAGAUAGCUUAGAAGUUGCUGCAUGUAUCCAGUUGUUGAUGCUGGAGAGUGUUUGGUUCAACCUAUGAUUAGUCAAAGGGUAUGUUGAUGAUGAUGGUACUGCAGACGACAUGAAAGUAGAUGGUCCGAAGGCAGGAUCCGGUAUGGUAGUGGGAAGCUAUGAAGUAGUGACUACCACUUCUGGCUCUUCAGACUGGCCAGUAGAAGUAGUAACUUUGCCCUUGGAUCCUUUGGAUUUGGGGUUGCCUGGACCCUGAAGGAUAUACCGUGAGAAGGGUUUCUUGGGCUUUACCAUGAUAUCGAAAUCUCUUUCCUCCACCUCCUAAUCCUCCAAGUACAUGGUGAGGAAGUUCAGGAAGGGGUAAUAUCUAUCACCCUUGUUGACUACUCUAGUGAUCACCCUAGACAUGAUAUUACCGACAUUGAUCGGGAACCCCACCAUGAUAGCCGCCACUACAAUCGCCUGGGAAAUCGACAUGUCACUAUCUUGAGUUGUGGGGUCUAGUUUGUUGCAUACAAAGGUCUCUCAACCCUUUGCCUCAAAGUUCAGGGUGUUCCUCAAGAUAUGAACCCCUGCUGCCAACCAUGCUGGAGUAGUAUCUGGGAGGGCAAGUAGUGAUGCCAACCACGGGCGAGUUGCUUCAUUCAUUGCCACCUUCUCUAAGUACAGCGACUCAUUUUCAUCAUUGAAACCAAGAUACUCAUUCAGAGUCUUUCUGUCAAAUUUGACCUUCAGGUUCCGCACCUUAGUCACAAAUGUGCCCUUUUUGAUGUGGGAGGCAUUGGCAUAGAAAUCCUUGACUAGGUGCUCAUUAGCAUCCAGCACAUUGCUAGUGAAGUAUUCCUAGCCCACUCUUUCAUUGAAGUGCUGCUUCACAUUGGGGUUAUGGGGUAGAAGAUCCCGCUUUAUGAACUGACGCUCAUGUAUAAGUGACUUUUGAGGCCACCACUCCCUGAAUUUGUGAUAUGCCAACUCACUGACAAACUACUAUUGCCACACCUCUAGGUUUCUUGUCCUUUCCACACCUCUGGUCUAGGUAUCACCCCAUUUCCCAUCAUCCAGUACCUCAGCAUUUACAUCUAUGGGAUCCUGUCGAGGUCAUAAAGCUGUAGGUGAGGUUGAAGCUGAGCCAUUACUACUCUCUGCUGAGCCAUCAGAUGACUCAGAAGAAACAUAAACAGAAACAUGAGUAGUAGGAGAGGAUGGGGGUGUAGGCUCGUCUGUCAAUCUAAGUCUCUCCGGGAAGUCUGGUACAUGUAUCGGUACAAAGCUACUCUCUAAGGCCUCUUGGGAGGGAACAUACUCACUCCCCUCGGAGUGGGAUGCAACUCUGUUUGUAGCUUUGAUAUUUUUCCUCAUUUGCCCAAUUGAUUUUUGUACUGUUGGGGUUAACUUAAUUUAUCCUCGUCCCCUACGCCGGGAGGACUCUCCUUUCCCCUUUUGUUUCUCACCGCCACCUCUAGAUUUAACCAUUAUCUGCAAAUAUAAUCAGCGGAAAAUUAUUAGUACUGGUGUUAGAAAAAGCAGUGAAGAAAAGUAGAAGAACAGUUGACAGUUCUUGAAAAAAAUUACAGACCGCUGAUAGUGGAAAAAGGAGCGCGGCAGCGGAAUGAGCACCACUGACCCCGAAAAACGCAGUGCGGACCGCGGAGGUGUGGGGAUCAGACUACCCACCCUCUGAUUCUAUGUUACCACUGGGCACAAAAAAUUGGGCACGGCCGCGGAAGUGCACCGGUGUUUGUAAAAAAUCAAUCGCGGCCGCGGACCCAUGUUAUGUUCUCUGAACCUAAGCACCGCUAACCGCAAAAAAAUAAUCGCGGCGGCAGAAUUCAAAAACGGCCUGAGUCAACCUAGGGUUUCAAAUUUUUCAUGCAUUUAGCAAGAUCAUCUACAUUGUUAACCCUAAGUAGCUAUUAAUUAAUAAGUCCUAACUAGUUUAAGCCUAAUUUAAUAAAUAUUAAUGAACCCUAGGUCAAAAUUUAAAAGAGAAGAAGAAGAAGAAGUAAAAACUACUAACUAAAAGAAAAACAAAUACAAAAUUAAAGAAUAAUGAAGGAGUGAAAUCACCAGAUGUGUAAUGUGCGAUGAAAAUGGACUCUAAUUUUGUGUUUUGCAGAUUAAGGUGUGGAUGAACAAUGAUAAUUUUACUAUGAGAGUCAAAUGAGCGAAAAGGUUAAAAGGCUUCCUGAACUCCUAUUUAUAGAAAUACCCUGGGACCCACCAUACUUACCCGACGCGAUCGCGGUAAAUCACUAUGGUUCGCGCUUGUGAAGAACAGAAGACCUGCUUGAGUUAAACUACCGCUGAGAGCAGUAAAUGAUACGCUGCCGCGGUUAGGCACUGCUGACCGCAAAGAAAGCACCACGGACGUGGUUGAAACUUCAAAGAGGUCUCAUUUUGGAAUUUUCAGUCCCGCAUCCACCGCCAAUUUAUGCCUCCGCGAUAAGGCCACUGCUGACAGCGGAAAAUAGAGCACUGUCAGCGGUGUAACUUCAGACUGUUGCAUAACUUUUCCAGGUUAGUCCUACAUUGAAUCAAAUAUUCCUACAUACAUCUCACAACCAGUUAGUUCAAAACAAAGCCUACACUAAGAAGAAAAUCAUAAAGAAGAAAAACACAUGGGUUGCCUCCCAAGAAGCGCCUGAUUUAACGUCGCGGCACAACGCAGGUUACCAUUAAUCAUUUGAGAUAGAUCAUUGCCACCACGUGACUGUUAUCAAACUUUCCAAGAUAAUGCUUCACUCUGUGCCCAUUAACUCUGAAGAUUUCACCAUUUUUAUUUUUCAAAUCAAGAGUACCAAACGGAGUUACAAGCACCACCUCAAAAGGUCCACUCCAUUUUAACUUGAGUUUCCCGGAAACAGUCGUCAGUGGGAGUUGAAUAAGAGAACCAAGUCACCUUCCUUGAAUUCCUUGCUACGGGCAUACUUGUCAUGUAGGUACUUCAUCUUGUCCUUAUAUAAGGACGAGCUGGAAUAAGCAUGAAACCGGAACUCAUCAAGCUCAUUGAGUUGCUCCACCCGGAGAUUUGCUGCAAUAUCCCAUUCAAGAUUUAACUUUCUCAAAGCCCACAUAGACUUGUGCUCUAACUCAACCGGUAGAUGGAAAGCUUUCCCAAACACCAACCAGCACGUAGACAUACCAAUCAGAGUCUUAUAAGUAGUCCUGUAAGCCCAUAAAGCAUCAUCCAGUUUCUUUGACCAGUCAGUCCUAUUUGUAUUGACAGUCUUUGAUAAUAUGCUCUUAAUCUCCCUGUUGGAGACCUCAACUUGCCCACUAGCCUGAAGAUGGUAAGGAGUUGAAACCUUGUGAUUGACACCAUACCUUGCAAGCAAAGUAUCAAAUGCCUUAUUGUAGAAAUGAGAACCCCCAUCAUUGAUGAUAUCUCUAGGAGUGCCAAACCGAGUAAAGAUAUUCUUCUUGAGAAAAGCCACCACACUCCGGACCUCGUUGUUGGGUAAAGCCACGGCCUCAACCCAUUUGGAAACAUAAUCAACAUCCACCAGAAUGUAUGUGUUGCCACAUGAACUUACAAAAGGUCCCAUAAAGUCAAUGCCUCACACGUCAAAUAUGUCAACCUCAAGAAUAUUGGUGAGAGGAAUUUCAUCCUUCUUUGAAAUUCCACCUGCUCUCUGACACUCAUCACAUCUCUUCAUAAGCUCACCCACAUCCUUGUACAUUGUAGGCCAAUAAAAUCCACAUCUAAGCACCUUUGAAGCUGUUCUCGCCCCACCAUGGUGACCACCGUAGGGAGAGGAAUGACAAGCAUCAAGAAUAUUCAUUUUCUCCUCUUCUGGAACACAUCUUCGGAUAACACCAUCAUUACAAAUUUUAAAUAAAUAAGGAUCAUCCCAGUAAUAGCAAGCUAUCCCGUUUGAGCUUCUUCCUUUGGUUAGAAGAGAGCUCACACAAAAUAAUACCAGUCACAAGAAAAUUGGUCACAUCCGCGAACCAAGGCAUGAUAUUCACAGAUACGGAGAUGAGUUGCUCAUUAGGGAAUGGAUCAUUAAUUUCAAGGCCAUCACAAGGCCUCCCCUCUUCCUCCAAGCGGGACAAGUGGUCCGCCACUUGGUUUUCACUUCCUUUUCGAUCAACAAUCUCAAGGUCAAACUCUUGAAGUAAUAGAACCCAUCUCAUCAACCUUGCCUUGGAGUCCUUCUUUGUUAUCAAGUAGCGGAGUGGUGUAAGGUCAGUAUGAACUAUCACCUUGGCACCCAUGAGAUAAGGCCUAAACUUCUCCAUCGCAAACACAAUUGCUAGCAACUCUUUUUCAGUCACCGUGUAAUUCACUUGAGCAUCAUUCAUUGUCUUACUUGCAUAAUACACCAUGUGAAACAUCUUGUUUACUCUUUGACCCAAGACCGCUCCUACCGCAACAUCACUUGCAUCACACAUGAGCUCAAAAGGUAAGCUCCAAUUGGGUGCGGUAAUAAUGGGAUUGGUUGUCAAUUUGUACUUGAGAAGUUCAAAAACUUUCAUGCAUUCCUUAUUAAACACGAACUUUGCAUCCUUUUCCAAUAAUUUGCAUAAAGGAUUCACUACCUUAGAAAAGUCUUUGAUGAAUCUUCGGUAGAACCCCGCAUGCCCAAGAAAACUCCUAACCCCCUUAACUGAAAUGGAGGAGAAAGCUUUGAAAUCACUUCAAUUUUCGCCUUGUCCACCUCAAUACCAUUCUUUAAGAUCUUAUGGCCGAGUACAAUGCCCUCCUCGACCAUAAAGUGGCAUUUCUCCCAAUUAAGCACUAGAUUUGUCUCCUCACAUCGGGCUAACACUUUGUCAAGAUUCUUCAAACACUCUUCAAAAGAGUCACCCACAACACUGAAAUCAUCCACGAACACUUCCAAGAAGUCCUCUACCAUGUCAGUAAAUAUAGCCAUCAUACAUCGCUGAAAGGUAGCCGGUGCAUUACACAAACCAAACGACAUCCUAGAAAAUGCAAAAGGUGCCAUACAGACAUGUGAAAGUGGUUUUCUCCUGAUCUUCUGAAGCAAUCAAAAUCUGGUUGUAACUUGAGUACCCAUCUAAAAAGUAAUAGAAGGCACACCCAGCAAGUCUAUCCAGCAUCUGGUCAAGAAAUGGCAAUGGAAAAUGAUCCUUGCAGGUCACUUUAUUCAACUUCCGGUAGUCCAUGCUCACCCUCCAUCCGAUGAUAAUUCUGGUGGGAAUCAACUCAUUUUUCUUAUUGGUGACCACAGUCAUACCACCCUUCUUCGGCAAAGGCAAAGGCUUCAACUCCAAAAUAGGAGGUUUCUCGAUUGAGGGUUUUGUUGGUGGAGUCUUUCUAUUCUUAAGAUCCAUAGAAAGCUUAAGAGGCUCAUAAGAAUAAGAACUCAUCCCGUGCAAAGCAUUGACAUACUCCACCCUACCUUCAUCCUUAUUCAUAUCAAGGUUCAACAAUACCGCUUCUAAAGGAUCCUCCACAUUGACCAUGGCACUAGUAUCAUCAACUAUCACCUCUGUAAUAAGAUCCACAAAAGAGCAAACUUCAGUACUAUUCGGCUACCUCAUUGAUUUGCAUACAUGAAAGACAACUUUUUAGUCACCACCCGGAAGGUGAGCUCCCAUGCUUCCACAUCAACCAAUGCCUUCCCAGUUGCUAGGAAAGGCCUUCCCAAUAUUAUAGGCACCUCAUAGUCGACUUCGUAGUCAAGAAUCACAAAAUUAACAGGCAAAAUAAACGUGUCCAGUCGGACAAGAACAUCAUCAAUAAUUCCAAACGGCCUCUUCAUUGUUUUAUCCACCAUUUGCAAUCUUAUUGAAGUAGGUCUCGGUUGACUAAUACCUAAAGUUUUGAACAUGGAUUAAGGCAUCAAAUUGAUGCUUGCUCCCAAAUCACACAAAGCCUUUGCAAAAUCCGCAUUCCCAAUGGUACAAGGAAUGGUGAAAGCGUCAGGAUCUUCAAGCUUUGGAGCCAUCAAGUGCACAAUUGCACUUACUUGAUGAGUCAUUUAGAUGGUCUCACAAUCCAUAGAUCUCUUUUUAGUCACCAAGUCUUUCAUAAACUUGGCGUAACCCGGCAUUUGCUCAAGAGCUUCCACCAAAGGAACAUUGAUCGACAAGCUUUUCAUCAUCUCAAUAAACUUCUUAAAUUGGUUUUCAUUCUUUUUCUUCGCAAGUCUUUAAGGGUAAGGUAGAGGAAGCCUUGGCAAGGGAGCCUUAUCCUUGGCACUACCAUUUCUGACAUAUCUAUCACGUGUUUCCUAGACGGGUUCACGUCAUUUUGAGUCUCCACCUCAUUAUCGUGAAUAUCAAUUCUCACUUCAGCAUUCAAAUUCUCUUCACUCACUUGCUCAUCAACUAUAGGAAUAUCAUCAUCUUGUACUUCAACCUCAUCACUCACAACUUUCUUUUGCUUGGAGGUAUUCACUUCAACACCUCGACCGCUUCUGGUAACUACCGCCAUUGCAUGCCCGGUAUUGUUCUCACCCUUCGGGUUUACUACCGUAUCACUAGGUAGAGCCCUCUUAGGGAGAGUAUUCAAAGAUUGUGAAAUCUGGCCAAGUUGAACCUCCAAGUUUCAGAUUGAAGUAUUAUGGGAUGCCAACUAGGCAUCAGAGUCGACAUUAUUUUUCAUCAUUUGUUCAAACAUCAUCUCGAUCCUUCCUAUCUCAUUGUUUGACGAGCUAGGACAUUGGGACAAAAAUGGAGGCGAGUUGUUUGGUUGUUGAUACAUCGGAGGUCUUUGAAAGACUUGCCCCCGAUUCCCUUGAUUGCCAUUAUUCCAACCCCCUUGGUUGUUGUUUCCUCCCCAAUUGUUGUUGUUGUUGUCACUCCAAUUGCCCUGGUUGUUCUGGUUGCCCCAAUUCUGAUUGUUGUUCCCCCAGUUGCUAUUUCCCUGUUGGUUUUGAUUUCCCCAAUUUCCUUGGGAUCUUCACUGUUGUGGUUGGUUAGGAGCAUUGCCCUUUUGUCCUUGGUAAUUGUUCACGUACUGGACUUCUUCACUUUGCUCAUCAUACCCAUCAUCUUGGUUGAAACCACUGCUACCUUGCUCAUAUUGAUCUGGAUUUCCCUGAAUUUGUUGACCUCUUUGUCACCUCUUAUUGACCAACAUUUUUACACCUUCCAUAGCAUUUACUUGUCUCGGAGCUUGAACUUGCCGCAAUUGAGCUUUAGCCAAUUGGUUCAUUGUUGUAGUCAAUUCUGCUAUUGCUUGGUCGUGAUCGUGGAGCUCUUUGUGUAGGUGAAUGAUAGUGGGAUCACCCUGUGGCACAUUAGCUCGACUUUGCCAAGCUGAGGAAGUAUCAGCCAUCUCAUCAAGAAUAUCAUAGGCCUCAGCAUAAGGCAGCUUCAUAAAAUUACCCCCUGCUAGCUGGUUCACCACACAUUGAUUGGUCGUGUUUAUACCUCAAUAAAAUGUCUGUUGAAUCAUUGCUUCAUUCAUAUCAUUGUUGGGGCAUUCUUUGACCAUUGUACUGUAUCUAUCCCAUAUUUCAUAAAGGGACUCAUUUGGUUCCUGUUUGAAUGCUAAGAUUACAUCCCUCAAUGCAGCCACAUGUCCCAGUGAGAAAAACUUGGCUAUGAACUUAUUGCCCAACUCAUCCCAUGUAGUGAUAGAGUGGUUGGGGAGGCUCUUGAGCCAGUCCAAUUCUUUCCUUCUAAGUGAUAAGGGAACAAUCUCAGUCUCAAUGCAUCCUCCGACACAUUAGUUUGUUUGCUUCCCCAGCAGGUAUCCACAAAGCCCUUUAGAUGUUUAUAUGCAUUCUGAUGGGGAGCACUUAUGAAGUACCCUCGUUGCUCCAAUAAAGUCAAUAUCACAUCUAUAAUUUGGAAAUUGCCCGCCCGGAUCCGGGGUGGGACAAUUGCACUUGCAUAUCCUUCAUUUGGAAGCACCCGAGAAGCAACUCUUGGAGGAGGCGGGGGAGGGUCUGGAACAUUGUCAUUAGCCUGGUGGCCUCUUCUUUGACCUUGAGGUACUAGAUGCACAUCAUCUUUAUCAUUAUCAUCUACCUCCUCCCUCGGUAUAGCAUUUCCAAGAUUAUCGUUGUUUGCCAUUUUGUACCUGAAUCGAUUAACUCACACAAGUUAGUUAAACAGAAGGAAAGAAAAACAAGAUACAAAACUAGUCAGAUAGAUAGCCAAAACUGUUUAGCUCCCCGACAACAGCGCCAAAAUGUGAUCGGAGCCAACCCUAUACCACUAUAGAAUGGCAAGAGCGGUCGAUGCAGCUUUUACCCGAAAGGUCGGGAUCGAAUCCACAGAGAGCUAAGAUAGGUUUGGAGUUGGGUUUCUAUCUAAUCUAGCAGUGUACGAUGUUCUUAAUUGCACUUUCAAUCAUUCUUUGUUUGUUUACUAUUCUACUUUAAUACUAAUGAAUCAGGAAAAUAAGCUAAGUAUGAUAUUUUUUUGUAAGGUUUUCUUAAUUGGUCUAAAGGCAGUAGGGAAGUGACUUACACCUAGGUGGGUAUCUAAUGGGGUCUAAAACUUAGGGCAGACUUGUUUUAAUUGGGAUCAUGAUAUAGCCAUUGCACGUGACUACUCACUCUAUACCUCUCGGUAGUUUGAGUGACUUUGUCCUAAUUGACUUUCUCAAGCCAAAUUGGGUAUAAAACAAUGCAAGCAAAUUUGGCUCAAGUCGGGUAUUACUAUCUCUAGGUUUAACCAUUUAAUUGGGGCUAUCAAUCUCUUGAAUGCACCCCAAUUCCUUGUUGGCAUAAACUUCCUAGACUUAGUCUCUCUUUCUCAAGAAGAGCCUAAGUCAAAAGGCACAAAUCAGUGUUUGCAACCACCAAUUUAACAUUUAAAGAAUAAAUCAAGCCAAAUAUCAUUCACCCAUAAACGUUUAAGCCCUAAAAUUAAAGACCCAUUAAAUACCCACACUAGGGUUAAGCCACAACCCUAGCUAAUGGGUUUAGCUACUUAUAAUCAAAGAAGAAAUCAAAGAUGGAGAUGAAUUAUAAGCCAUAAAAAGUAAUUACAAGAUUAAAAUCUAAGAUUAAUUGCUAAAGAUGUUCUAAAAAUACUCAAAAAGGUAAAAGGAGGCGGUUUCACGUGCUCUACAAAACAACAGAUGACCUAAAAAUCUGAAAAAGAACUAUUUAUACACAGCUAAAUUUUUUGGACAAAAAUGCCCUAUGGAGGUUCUGCUGAUAGCGGAAAAUGGACCGCUGCAGCGCUAUGACUAGCGCGGCUGUGCAAAAGCCACCGCGGACUGCGGUCUUCAGUUUUUAGCUCCACUUCUGGUUCUCUGAUUCUCACUUCCGCUGAGGGCGAUAACUUGACCACUGCCGCGCAAAAGCCACUACUGCCGUGCAAUUUCACCACGAGUAGCAGUAACUUGUUAAGCCCAAAAUUACAGCUCUCUGAACCUUGCCACCACUGAGAGCGAAAUCAAGACCGCCUCAGCGGUGGACCCUCCGCGUCCGCGUUUGUUUCUAUGUUGUCAGCGCUCUUUUGACCCAACUUUUGAACUUGUGCAGGUUUCACUCCUUUUUGAAAUGGUUAUGACUUCCUUGUCUCUUUUUGACCAAACACUGCAAACAAACACAAUAAGUUAGCUUUUGGGAAUACUUGUACACACUUUUAAUCCAAAACCUAACCAAAAAGGAGCAUAAAAUAGGCUAGAAUCCCUAGUUAUCAGCAACCUACAACCAGUGAUAGCAAAUAAAUAAUCAGAGGACAGAACAAAAUCUUAAAUUCAUUUGCCAAUAGAAAUCAAUGGAGUCUCGCUUGAUGCUGGGGAGAUGAGAUCUAUAGUUGGGGAUAUAGUCUCGCUUAUAGAGGCAGAGUACACGCGCUAGCGUGCUGCCUUUGCCGUGACUGCUUCUCAACCCACAACACCAUCAGCUUCAUCUUAUCCCAUAUCGAUUAUACCUUCGUCACCAGUAACUGCUACAUUACCCCCAUUGGCCGCAAACACCCGAUAGGAGUAUGUCCCUCCUCCCAGUCCCAGACUAUGGAAAUUUGGGACAUAACUAUUCGACUCCUCUGCAGAUCCCCAGAGGAGGAAGAGUGUUUCCCUCUCGAUUUCUACCGAGUGCCAUCUGCUGACCUGGCCAGUGGAACUCACCAAUUACCUAAAGUCGUUGGUUUCAAAGAAAGACAAGAAGAACACUCUCUUUCGAGGGAGUGUAUGAUAAAUAAGGUCAUGCACAAUGCAGCAGUGGUAUGGUACUCGUUCUCUUUACUGUAUGCUUUCUCUUGAUUUGUUAUGAUAGGAUUUCUAACUUGGGUUUUUUGUUCGCAUGCCAACUUCCUUUCUUCUGAGGGCCUUCAGAAGUUGAUCCAUGAUAAAGAGAAGCUUACGUCCGAGCGGGAUCAACUGUUGGUCGAGAGGGGCCAAGUUGUUUCUCGUCUCCCGGUACUGGAAGCACAAGUUGCUAAAGCCGGUGAGUUAGAGGCUCGGUUGUAGCAGAGCGAGAAGAAAGUGAUGGCCCUCAGCCAAGAGGCUCCCAGUUAAGUGUACAAUUUCAAGAAUCCAAGGCUAAAUGGUCUGAGGUGCAAAAUAUUGUACUUGUUGCUGUCGAGUGCGAGGCUGACUCUACUAAGAUAUUGAAUAACUUGGAGGCUGCCUUGAACUCCAAAACUGAAGAGGCUGCUGCUGCUGAGGAGAAGCGUGCCCAGUUGGAGGAGAAGUACAAUAGGGUCAUGUAACACAAUAAGGUUCAUAUCCCUAUUAUCCGUGACCUUGAUCUCAACCUUAGGGCCAUAAGAGCCGAGCGGGAUAGCUUUUUGAUCGAGGUUGAUCGGCUUAAAUCAGAGCUCCAACAUCAAGGAGAUUCCCUCACUAUUGAGAAAACACAUUCUACGUAUAGCAUGAGGAUAAAAACCUUGGAAGAGGCGAAAGUGGGCAUCAUUGACUUUGAUGACAAGAUCGCCAAGGCCCGAGAGCUGGAGUCAACCACCCGAAGGUGCCUCCCGGCUCUACCCGGUGUAAUUGACUCUUCCGAUUUUGGUUUCGAAUUCUCGAGAACUGGGGAGGAACUUGAAGGGGAUAAUGAUGAGGACCAAGAUCCCUAGCCAACGGUAAAUCCGCCUACUUCUCCUGGGGGCGCUGAUGCUUUUCUUCCCCUGAGUUCUGGGGAUGUAGUAGUUUACAUUUUUGCUUUCUUUUCCCUUUGUUGUUUUCUUUUCAUACUUUUGUACUUGUGCUGCUUGGCACGUUUAUUAUAUAAAAGUGCUUUUCGUUUAAGCAUACCGCAAAUUUUACUUUUUUGCGUCGAAUUAUGCAACACUUCGAGUGCAUUUUUCCCCGAUAGCAUUUUGGUUCUGGGCAUAAACUCUUCCGGAACCAACCCUUUACUGUAAUGGUUUCAUAAGAGAGGACCCUCUUAUGUUUACAGUGCUCUUGAAGAGGACGUCUCCUGAUCAUUCCGACACUAGCAUAAGAAGUACUUAUUAGCUUUCAAAUGAUAAAAUUAAUGCAUCGUUUGGACAAGAAACAAGAUAAAAAUAAAAGGACUUUAUUUUAUUCCUUCUAUCUUCAAAAGUACAUAGGCAUUCAUUUUUCUGAAAAGAAAUUGCCAUUACUUAUGGCUAAUUUAUACAACUUAUUUCUAUGGGGUUGGCCGCACAGUCCUCGGUCUCGAUGAUACAUCUUUGUUCUCGAAUUUGAUAGUCCCAGUUUCUGUGGCAAUCAGGUUUCCGUAUUCACAUAACAUUCUCCUCCCCCGUCCAUUGUUUGAAUGUGGAUAAUGCGAAUUGGAACACUAGAAGUAUUGCUCCUUUGAAGAUUCCACUAGUGAAUGGUUGGAUAAUAUUUAGUCUGAUAGCAAGCUUCAUUUCCCGUUAGGAACUUUGCUACCGAGCCAAAGAUUAUCUAACCACCCCCAAUGGCUUGUAGUAAAGGGGUACUCGUGAAUGGUCGGAUAUCUUUUGGUUUGAUAGCAAUAUUUGUUUCCCGUUAGGAGCUUUGCUAUCAAGCCAAAGAAUAUCUAACCAUCUCGUAGUGGUUUGUUAUUUACAUGCCCUAUCGUUUAAAGGUCUUAUUUCUGUUGAUGACACUUCCUUCAUAGUAUGCUUUCCGUUUGUUGUUUUCGGGCCACCAUCCUUAUGUGCGCCAAGUCCCUACAUUCGUCAAGCAACUCCAAUUUUGCUAGCAAUGCUUCGUUGUUUGUUUCUUUGUCUGCCCGAAAAUAUCUCAUGGUAGGUUCUCCCACUUCCACUGUGAUCAAGGCUUCUACUCCAUAUACAAGAGAAAAGGGUGUCUCUCCCGUGCUUGACUUGGCCGUUGUUCGGUAUGCCCACAACACUCUCGGUAACUUUUGAAUAAUCACCUUAUUUGUUGAUUUUGCUUGUCCAUUUGCGCUCGGAUGGUAUGGUGAGGAUGUGAUUCUUUUGAAUUUCAAGUCUUCAAGGAAUUUUGUGACUUUUGCGCCUAUGAAUUNNNNNNNNNNNNNNNNNNNNNNNNNAAGCAUGUCCAAGUGUUUUAUUAUUUUCCAUAAUUUUUGAAGGUUUAAAUUGAUUUAUUUUCUCCCUUUUUAUUGAUAAAAUCCCAAUAAUUAUUUCCAAAAUUAUUAUUUUGAUAAUUCAUCUAGUGAAUUUUUAUAUUUAUGCCAAAAUAUGGCUAAUGUAAUUUUUACAUAUUUUUUACAAUUUUAUUUAGUAUUUUUAAAGCUAAAUAUUAGCCCUUUUUAUGGUUUAAUUAGGUUUUAUAUUCAUAAAAUUGGAUCAUGUAUUUUUAAAUUAUUAUUUAUGUGUUAUAAAUUAUUUUAGCCUUUUUAAAUUAGUUUUCAGAAAUUAUUUAUUAUUUUUAUAAAAUUAAAAGGGAAAAAUGGCUAUUUAACUUAUAGCCAAAAUUGGCUUUAAAAUCUAGCCCAAAUCGAAUUCCCAAUUCCCCAACCCAAUUCCAAUUCAAAUCCGACCCUAACCCAAUUUUAACCCAAGCCCAAACUGGAUCCCUACUUACCCAUUUGAUCAUGACUGUUGAUCAUUCAGAUCAAUGGUCCCCUUUUCCCCUUACCAUUUUUAACCCAAAACGACCCCUAACCUAAUUCUUUUGUUACGGUCCGCUGCCCUUGAAUCCCCUCUCCUCUUAAACUCUCUUUGAAACUUAAAGCCAACCCUAGCCGCCGCCACCCAAACUAACCCUAAUUCCCUUCGAUCCUCACCCAAUCCAUGGACUCCCAUGGCCGUUUGAGAUGUAUACCGGUUGUGAGCAUGUGAUUUUUGCCCUAUAUGAAAUACUCCUUUAAAAUCCCCAAGAAAAUAGGUUUUCUGUUAAUUAUUUGCUAUUUUAGAAAUUUUUUGUAGAAUUUUCUUAAUUAUUUGCAUUUUUCUUUGCAUGUUUAAUUUUUAUUUAAAUCAUAAAAAUUAUCAAAAUAUCAUGCAUUGCAUUUAGGAUUUUGUUUUUACAUUUUUAGAAUUAAUCAGUAAUUAUUUAUUUUAUAAAAAUUUGAAAAUCACAAAAUAGCUCAUUUUUACAUUUUUUGUCUUUUAAUUUUAGUUUAUUGAUUUUCCUCUUUUAAUUUAGAAUUAAGUGAUGUCUACAAUUUUUAUAAUUAUUUAAUUAGUUUAAUUUCAAACUUUUUAGAUAAUUUAGGAUUUUUUAUUAUUAGGAUUUUUAAUUAAAAAAAAAGAAAAAAAAAGAGGAAUUAGGAAAAGAAUUGAAAGAAAAAGAGAUUAUAUGUCUUGAAAAAGUGGGCUGAUUUCACAUUUGGCCCAAAUUGUUCCCCUCAAAUUUGACUCCCCAGCCAAGUGCCCCGCCGGUUCAGCCCAACGAAAAUGGACCUGACCCAUCAUUUGACUCGCCCGGUGCCCUUUAAUAUAUAAACCAUCUUAUAAACAUUUCCCCAAUUCCCAAACCCUAGACCUAACACACAGACGGUGCCUUUGACACUGUUCAUCGUCUUACUCUUCGACUCAGCCCUCAACUCGCCUGGAACUCAGGCGAGUUCACUCAAAUAAUCCCCUCCCCUCCACGUUAUUUGAUUCCCAACGGUUUUUGUCAGAAAGAAUACGAAUAUUCUCUCCAAAUCGCACGAUUUCUGUACUAUAAGGACGAUUUGCUAGAUGAAUGGGAGCCAUGGAUAGAUGUAAAUCGAUCCACGCCUUCCAUUUGUCCCAAAAUUUGUUCAAAAAACUUGAAGAUUUUCGGAUUUUUGGCAAAAGAUUUGAGAUUUUUGAAGGCUAUAUAUAUGAGGUAAGUUCUGUUUGCUAGGUUAGAAGAAAAAAUCAGGAAAAAAAAAUGGAGAAAUCUUCAGUAAAAUUUAGUCGAAAAUUUCUAGGGUUUUUUAGUUAUCACCCUCUUCAGGCCUUCUUCUUUUCUUCAGAAAAUAUACUAAAAAAGGCACAAUGGUCUUAGUUUUUUUUAGUCGAGUUUACUUUAUUUCGAGCUGGUCGUCUUCUAUUUUUAUCUUUGAUUCGUAGCGGUUGUGAACAUCUGCCCAUAUAAUUGAUUGGAACUCGAGCAAGCUUUCUUUCAGUUUUCAGGAAGCGUCAGAGCUCCUCGGGUUCAGCCCCUUAGUAAAUGUCUUAGCUGCCCAUUCAUCUGGCACGGCCGAGCCUGUACCUUCCUGGCCCCUGCAUGGGCCUUGAUGAAAGAACUCGCGAGCAUCUCAAAAGAAUCUAUUGAGUGCUCGGGUAAAAGUGAAUACCGUGUCACGGCCCCUUCGUGAGGGUUUUCCCAAAUUUCUUCAGCAAGACUGACUCAAUCUCGUAUGGAGCUAAGUCAUUUCCUUUCACCGCCAUUGUGUAGGUGGUGAUGUUCUCCUAAGGAUCCAAAGUCUCAUUAUAUUUUGGUACGUCUGGCAUUUUGAACCGCUUCGCGAUUAACUCGGCUUGAACGAAAACUGGGUAUAUUUCUUUGAGUCGGGUCCUUUCAACAAUGGUGUUGCACCCGGAAUUUGGUCCAUUCGGGUGUUUAUUUCCCUCAUAAACAGCAUGAGCUUGAUUUUAAAGGAAUCACUCCCGUUAUUAUUACCAGAUCCGUUGUUGUCCCCCCGGCCCCGUCGAAGCCGACCUCACCCCUCGGGGUAUUGUUAUCAACCCUUUACGCUGUUCGAUUUGUAAGAGCACAGGGAGGAAUCAGACCUCAUCCACUCGCGAUGUUGGAAACACCCAGCAGCGCUUGCCUCAACUUUGUAAUGACAUGGUCUUGCCGCGAGAGAUGGGCCAUAAUAGCCUUUUGUUGUUCUUUCGGGAUUCUCACUGUUUCCGCAACGUGCUCGUCUUUAGUGUCAUCAGGAUUUGCCUCCCGUACGUGUCGUGGAUAUUGCCCGCCAUGGACCAGCAUGACCACGUCCUCCUCAUUGCGGGCGUCACUUAUCGAAUCUUCAUGUUGAGGUGGAUUUCCUUGUGCCUCAACAUUGUGUGCGAUGUUGAUAUUGUUGUCUGCCAUCUUUUACGAUUUUUUUUCUAAAAAACAAAGAAUCAAACAGAUUAGUAAUAGAUGCAAGUAUCAACUCAAUUAUAUAACUGUCUAAGCCUCACGGUGGGUGCCAAACUAUUUACCUUUAAAAUGGUACAGUUGAAUUUAUAACGUUGUUUAUAGAUAAGUGAAUCAAUUUAAUCCCAAAAUAAUAAAUAAAUUAAAUAAAAUGUAAGACUUAGCAUUGAAAUCGAGAUAAGAUAACAAACAACUUGGUUCCAGGAGCAAGACUUCCGAAGACAGCAAUAAGAAUAUCAAUAGACAGAAAAUAACGUAGAGCUUAUAAUAAUGUGUAGCAUACGUUUUUCAGAAAUUUCGUGUCUUACAAUGAAUGUUGAAGUCACUAUUUAUAGCUACACCUAUGGAACAAGGUCCUAGGAUCAAACCUCUCUUAAAUGAUAAUUAUCGGGGCCAUUGAUGAAGGUGUAACGAGAGGCUAUGAAUGCCAAAAUUCUCUGUAACGAUUGUAUAUUUAAUACUGAGGAAUAUUCUUCAUUGAAUGUCAUCGGGUGGCAAAUAUUCGUUUUGUCCUCGUUAGAAAUAUUCCUUUCGGGGUCUGCUCGGUGUCAACCGAAGCUACUGUCCCCGAUCUUGGUUUUCAGUUGCCUCAUUUUCUGUCUGUCUCCGGUUUCACAUUUCACUCUAUUAUUCGAGUAUUUAAUGUGAAUCAAUUUUACUCUAUAUACCCGCUUCACGAAAAAAAAUAACACUAUGUAUAUAGUUAUAUUUUAUCUUUCUUCUAGUAAAUGUUGUUAUAUAACUUUUUUUUACCUCGCGUAGCACAAAGACACUGUCCAGUGCACUGACAAAGUAGGUUCAAAUUUUCUAGAAUACCUAAUUAGAAACGAGUCAGUUGCAUUUACAGGCACUCUUUUUUCCCUAUAUACAACACUCUUUUUCUUCCAAUAUACAUACAACAAAGGAAAUUUUUUACUUCUCCUACAUCACUCUCCUUUUUUCCUAUAUAUAUAUACGCCAUAGGAAAAUUUCUAUUUCUUUUUUUUUAAAGACUAGGAAAGCUUUAUAUACAAAAUUUAGGAAAAGAAAAUUACACCUUUCUAAUAAAAAAUUAUUUUUUUGACAUUUUUGUAUAUUUAUUUCUUUGCAUUUUGAACCUGCUUGAUGAAAAUUCUGGGUCUGCCAAUUGCAUCUACUUACAAGUUAGAAGAUCCUUUCCUCCCCCUAUUUCCCCACCUCUCCCCCUCCCCCCUCCCCCCUCCCCCCUCCCCCCAAGAAAAUCAUCAAUACCGUAAAAAUGAAAAGCAAAAGGAAGAAAAUAGGAGAAGAGCUGGAGAAAAUUAGUAAUAAAUAUUUGUAUAUUAAAGGUCUGUUUGGAAAGUCACCCUGUAAGUGGAAUUAAUGUAAUUACUAAAAUAGUAAUUACACAACCUAGUAAUUACGACGACCUGUUUGUUGUCACAACGUAAUUGUAGUAUAAUUACAAGUACUGUUUGGUUGCAAUGAAAUUACACAGUUAGAUUAAAUUUUAAAUGAAGCAAUUAUCAAAACUUAAAAGUUAAUAUAAUAAAUAUAUGCGUAUAAAUAAUUUUUUAUAAGUAUAAAUGAUAUUAGAUUUGGUAUUUAAGAUGCAUAAUUUUUUUGAAUAUACACUAAUUAGCAAUCAUAUAUUUAUAACUAAUAUUGUAAAAAUAAUUGAUAUAUAUUUUUCAAAUUAAUAAUAUUUAGUUUAAUUAAUUAUAAAAAUUAAAAACAUACAUUUUGUACGAACAUCAUGCAUGGAAUGCAUGUUUGAUAAAAUAAAUUAAUAUUUAUAAAUAUAAUAUCACAACAUUAUGCAAAUGUUUGACAAAACUAAUUUAUCAAUUCUAAGUAAAAAAUAAACAACAUGCAAUGUGAAAUAACAAGUCAAUAGUACUAAUAGAAGUAAAUUGAAACCAUAAAUAUAACACAAUUUUAAAAUCCCAAAAAAAAAUACUUUAACAUAUGUCAAGUUCCAACAUAAUUAAAGUAAGUUCCAAUACAACUUAAGAUUAGGAAACAUAAUAAGUUUAUAACCUCAUUCAACAACGAAAUUCUACUUUAGUGACAUCACUCAUUUUAUGACAAGUUUGUUAAUGACUUAUUAUUUUUAAUAUUGGGAGGUGUAGUUUCAAAAACUAGAAUAAUAACACAAUUACGCUAAAUGAAGAAAUAAAACAAAUAAAAAAUAGAAUACACGAGCAGUUUCAUGGAAUCACAAGAAGUAAAGGUAGAGAAAUAAAAAAAAUAGAUGUACACAAAAAUAUAUUCCAAAAUUAGAAAAGAAUUAAAAAGUAAAAAUAAAAUAAAACAAAAAUUAAAAUAAUGGAAAUAAAAAUUUAUAAAGAAAAAAAAAUUAAAAUAAAAACAAAAAAAUUAAAAAGUAAUCUUGUAAUUACUUUGUGUAAUUACCACGAAUUCUCACCUCCCCUUGAGAAUUGAAGAGUGUAAUUACACUUCUCCAAUAAGACCAAAUUUCAUGUUGACCAAGUAGUUACUUGGCUAUACAAACAUGCUAAACUGUGUAACUAUAUCUAAUUACACCCAAAUUCAAUUCCUACGUAGCUUUUUUUCAAACAGGCUAUAAGUGUAUCUACUAUUUGGAGUUUCAUUUAAAAAAAAAAAAAGAACAAAUAAGUACUUUGAGUAAGAAGUGUGAGCCUGUAAAAUGAUUAGAAUUUGUAUUCCCCUUGGAGACAAAAUCUCCUCGGUUUCCUGGUACAGAAGCAAGAUACAGACGUGACUCAACUCAAACAACAAAACAAACACAAAUAGUUUUGUCAUUAUUCCAAUCUGGUCAACCUUUCAAGCAGAUUAUUCAUUGUUAUAGAGAAUGCAUCUUGGAAUUUCUCCAGCUUAGAUUUUGGAUCUCCGUACACCAAUCCAGGUAAUAAUUCAUAAAUGAUGUAUCUUCUCAUUUUCUCUCUUUCCCCCGCAGGAAUUUUCAUAAGCGUCUCCA
Molecule: long non-coding RNA, 29395 nt
Filed under: Nicotiana tabacum (common tobacco)
Lineage: Eukaryota; Viridiplantae; Streptophyta; Magnoliopsida; Solanales; Solanaceae
Description: long non-coding RNA (NTAB_LNC003357)
Source: RNAcentral